Molecule: ribosomal RNA, 350 nt
Filed under: uncultured Oscillospiraceae bacterium
Lineage: Bacteria; Bacillati; Bacillota; Clostridia; Eubacteriales; Oscillospiraceae
Description: bacterial SSU rRNA
Rfam family: Bacterial small subunit ribosomal RNA
Source: RNAcentral
AGAGUUUGACUCCGUGGCUCAGGACGAACGCUGGCGGCGUGCCUAACACAUGCAAGUCGAACGGAGCUGUUUUGGAUUUUCCUUCGGGGAAUGAAUUUACAGCUUAGUGGCGAACGGGUGAGUAACGCGUGAGCAACCUGCCUUUCAGAGGGGACAACAGUUGGAAACGACUGCUAAUACCGCAUGAUAUCAUAUGGGGGCAUCCUCGGAUGAUCAAAGAUUUUAUCGCUGAAAGAUGGGCUCGCGUCUGAUUAGCUAGUUGGUGGGGUAACGGCCUACCAAGGCUGCGAUCAGUAGCCGGACUGAGAGGUUGAUCGGCCACAUUGGGACUGAGAUACGGCCCAGACUCC